GUAGGUGGCAAGCGUUGUCCGGAAUUAUUGGGCGUAAAGCGCGCGCAGGCGGUUCUUUAAGUCUGAUGUGAAAGCCCACGGCUCAACCGUGGAGGGUCAUUGGAAACUGAGAACUUGAGUACAGAAGAGGAAAGCGGAAUUCCACGUGUAGCGGUGAAAUGCGUAGAGAUGUGGAGGAACACCAGUGGCGAAGGCGGCUUUCUGGUCUGUAACUGACGCUGAGGCGCGAAAGCGUGGGGGAGCAAACAGGAUUAGAUACCCUGGUAGUCCACGCCGUAAACGAUGAGUGCUAAGUGUUAGGGGGUUUCCGCCCCUUAGUGCUGCAGCUAACGCAUUAAGCACUCCGCCUGGGAGCACGGCCGCAAGGCUG
RNAcentral lists this ribosomal RNA (370 nucleotides) under uncultured organism. RNAcentral's name for it is "partial 16S ribosomal RNA". It matches the Rfam family "Bacterial small subunit ribosomal RNA", at positions 527 to 896 of the family's 1533-position model. The record is from RNAcentral.